ACUUAAAUUGAAGAGUUUGAUCAUGGCUCAGAUUGAACGCUGGCGGCAGGCCUAACACAUGCAAGUCGAACGGUAGCAG
RNAcentral lists this ribosomal RNA (79 nucleotides) under Pluralibacter gergoviae. Its description in RNAcentral is "partial 16S ribosomal RNA". It matches the Rfam family "Bacterial small subunit ribosomal RNA", at positions 1 to 75 of the family's 1533-position model. The record is from RNAcentral. Lineage: Bacteria; Pseudomonadati; Pseudomonadota; Gammaproteobacteria; Enterobacterales; Enterobacteriaceae.